This 1595-nucleotide long non-coding RNA is filed under the name Equus caballus (horse). RNAcentral describes it as "lncRNA (ENSECAG00000054525.1)". The record is from RNAcentral. Lineage: Eukaryota; Metazoa; Chordata; Mammalia; Perissodactyla; Equidae.
ACCACAGAGUUGGCUUAAAAUUGUAUCACCUCAUUUUCAAAAAUUUUAUUAACUUAAAUAUGCAUUCCAAAAAUUAUAUAAUGAGCACAUGACUCUUGCCUUAUGACAUUUUUACAGAAAUGGGAAAGAAAGAUAACAUAUAAAUAAUAAAGCCUCAUAAAAUGGCCUUUAAAUAUUGGUUGUUUCCACUACAGUUUUUCUUCAUUGGUUAGGUCAUUUAACUUCUCUUUCUACAAAAUCUGACAAUGACUGCAAGACCCAAAAAUCUGUUUUCUGUUUCCAGCCUACUCUUCCCUACAUCUUUCCCAUCAUUCGUUUCAACUUUUUUAUUGCAGCAAAUACACAUAACAUUUACCAUCGUAACCAUUUUAAAGUGUACAGUUCAGUGGUGUUAAGUACGUUCAUAGGCACAACCAUCAGCAUUAUCCAUCUACAGAACUCUUUCCAUCUUGCAAAACUGAAACUCUAUACCCACUAAACAUUAACUCCCUAUUACCACCAUUCUCUUUUCUGUCUCUAUGAUUUUGCCUAAUCUAAGUACCUCAUAUAAGUGGAAUCAUAAAGAAUUUAUCUUUUGUGAUUUUUCACAUAUAGGAUUCUUGGUUGACAGUUUUUUCUUUUAACGCUUUAAAUACACCAGCCCAUUGCCUUCUGGCUUCCAAAGUUUCUGAUGAGAAAUCUUCUGGUAAUCUUAUUGAGGAUCUUUUGUAUGUGAUGAAUUGCUUCUUUCUUGCUGAUUUCAAGAUUCUCUGUGUUUGGCUUUCGACAGUUUGAGUAUAAUGUGUCUUGGUCUGGGUCUUUUUUAGUUCAUCCUACUUGGAGUUUGUUGAGCUUCUUGUAUGGUUAUGUCUUCCAUCAAGUUUUCAGCCAUCACAUUAUUUCUUCAAAUAUUCUCUCUGCCCCCUUCUCUCUCUCUUCUCCUUCUGGCACUCCCACAAUGCAUGUGUUGGUCUGCUUGCUGGUGUCCCACAUAGCCCUUAGGCUCUGUUCACUUUUCUUCAAUCCUUUUUCUUUCUUCAGACUCAACAAUUUCAAUAGUCUUAUCCUCAAGUUCAUGGAUUAUUUCUUCUGCCUUUGAAUCCUUCUAGUGAACUUUACAUUUCAACUAUUAUACUUUUCAACUGUAGAAUUUCCUUUUGGUUUCUUUUUAGGUUUUCUCUCUUCAUUGAUAUUUCCAUUUUGUUCAUAGAUCAUUUUCUUGACUUUCUCCACAUCUUCCUUUAGUUCUACGAGCAUCUUGAAGGCAGUUGUUUUAAAAUUUUUGUCUAGUAGAAGAACCAUCAGGUCUUUCUCAGGGACGGUUUCUGUUGGUUUCUUUUCUUUCCUUUGAAUGGGCCAUAUUUCCCUUUUUCUUUAUAUGCUUUGUGAUUUUUUUUUUUUUACUGUGGUUAAAAACUGGACAUUUCAAUCUAGUAAUAUGGUAACUCUGGAAAUCAGAUUAUCUCUCUUGCCCAAGGUUUGCUGUUGGUUUUUGUUUUUAUUGUUCGAGGCUGUCUCUAUGCCAAGGGUCAGGCUGAGUUGUAAAAUUAAGGUCUUUUCUGAGCCUGUGCUUUCCCUGGGCAUGUGGAGUGACUUUCUAAUUUCCCUCAUAUCUG